AUGUGACUGUGGAUCGAGCCCAUGUGAAGCCUCUUCGAUGAGUCGAGUUGUUUGGGAAUGCAGCUCAAAAUGGGUGGUAAAUUUCAUCUAAAGCUAAAUACUGGCUGGAGACCGAUAGCGCACAAGUAGAGUGAUCGAAAGAUGAAAAGCACUUUGGAAAGAGAGUCAAAAAGUACGUGAAAUUGUUGAAAGGGAAGCGCUUGCAACCAGACCUGUCCGUAGGCGAUCUGCCGCUGUUCUCAGCGGUUCACUCGCUCUACGAUCAGGCCAGCAUCGGUUCGGGCGGUCGGAUAAAGGCCUUGGGAAUGUAGCUUCCUUCGGGGAGUCUUAUAGCCCUCGGUGCAAUGCGGCCAGCCGGGACCGAGGACCGCGCUUCGGCUAGGAUGCUGGCGUAAUGGUUGCAAGCGACCCGUCUUGAAACACGGACCAAGGAGUCUAACAUCUAUGCGAGUGUUUGGGUGUCAAACCCAUGCGCGGAAUGAAAGUGAACGGAGGUGAGACCCCUUAAGGGCGCAUCAUCGACCGAUCCAGAUGUCUUCGGAUGGAUUUGAGUAUGAGCAUAGCUGUUGGGACCCGAAAGAUGGUGAACUAUGCCUGAAUAGGGUGAAGCCAGAGGAAACUCUGGUGGAGGCUCGCAGCGGUUCUGACGUGCAAAUCGAUCGUCAAAUUUGGGUAUAGGGGCGAAAGACUAAUCGAACCAUCUAGU
This 706-nucleotide ribosomal RNA is filed under the name Hypogymnia hengduanensis. Its description in RNAcentral is "partial 28S large subunit ribosomal RNA". It matches the Rfam family "Eukaryotic large subunit ribosomal RNA", at positions 223 to 948 of the family's 3401-position model. Lineage: Eukaryota; Fungi; Ascomycota; Lecanoromycetes; Lecanorales; Parmeliaceae. The record is from RNAcentral.